CAUCCUUGAUGCUUGACAACAGCGUGUCGUUUGUGCUGCUGAGCUGAAAUACAUGUUGUUGAGUGACAGUCUGUAACUGAGCUGUCAUCUGCAGUAACUGUAAUUUAAUGGCCUUAAAGCAUAAAUAAUCAGUCGUGUCGAGGCGGCUGUCAUCAGUGUCUUGUUGUUGAUGAGGCUCUAAAGGUGUCACAGUCACGCUGAACGUCAAAGCCGCAGACGCCGCCUAGUGGAGCGGAAGUGAAUCAGUGUCAGUAGUUUUAAUGCAUGAAAACAAACUAGAAGUGUGUCGUUGGAGACGGGAUGCGUUUUUAGUUUUAUAUAUAUUAAAUCACGUCUGUGAUCUUCUUUAAAUGGUCUCAAGCAGCAGAUAAACAUGGCAUCUAACGGAUGAUCAGCUUCUCAACUGAAAGGAGUAAAGGAUGUGUUUGGAGCAUCACACACAUCCAGCAGAGGCAUGUGGACAGACAUCGACUAUGAUGAUGCUCAUCUGCUGAAGGACAGUAGCAGGUUCGAGUGAAUCUUUCUCUGUGUCUCUGAUGAGGAGGAUGUGAAGCUCAGGACUGGUCAUCAUAUCAACACAUCAAUCUACAGACAAACAUCACAUUUAAUAAAGAUUUAAUGAAGAAA
Danio rerio (zebrafish) is the source of this 627-nucleotide non-coding RNA. NCBI's taxonomy places the organism in Eukaryota, Metazoa, Chordata, Actinopteri, Cypriniformes, Danionidae. The record is from RefSeq and is a predicted model, not a curated record.